AGUGAACGCUGGCGGUAGGCCUAACACAUGCAAGUCGAACGGCAGCACAGUAAGAGCUUGCUCUUACGGGUGGCGAGUGGCGGACGGGUGAGGAAUACAUCGGAAUCUACUUUUUCGUGGGGGAUAACGUAGGGAAACUUACGCUAAAACCGCAUACGGCCUACGGGUGAAAGCAGGGGAUCUUCGGACCUUGCGCGAUUGAAUGAGCCGAUGUCGGAUUAGCUAGUUGGCGGGGUAAAGGCCCACCAAGGCGACGAUCCGUAGCUGGUCUGAGAGGAUGAUCAGCCACACUGGAACUGAGACACGGUCCAGACUCCUACGGGAGGCAGCAGUGGGGAAUAUUGGACAAUGGGCGCAAGCCUGAUCCAGCCAUACCGCGUGGGUGAAGAAGGCCUUCGGGUUGUAAAGCCCUUUUGUUGGGAAAGAAAAGCAGCAGGUUAAUACCCCGCUGUUCUGACGGUACCCAAAGAAUAAGCACCGGCUAACUUCGUG
Molecule: ribosomal RNA, 492 nt
Filed under: uncultured bacterium
Lineage: Bacteria
Description: partial 16S ribosomal RNA
Rfam family: Bacterial small subunit ribosomal RNA
Source: RNAcentral